Molecule: ribosomal RNA, 253 nt
Filed under: uncultured bacterium
Lineage: Bacteria
Description: partial 16S ribosomal RNA
Rfam family: Bacterial small subunit ribosomal RNA
Source: RNAcentral
UACGAAGGGGGCUAGCGUUGCUCGGAAUUACUGGGCGUAAAGCGCACGUAGGCGGGUCGUUAAGUCAGGGGUGAAAUCCCGGAGCUCAACUCCGGAACUGCCUUUGAUACUGGCGACCUUGAGGCUGGAAGAGGUUAGUGGAAUUCCCAGUGUAGAGGUGAAAUUCGUAGAUAUUGGGAAGAACACCAGUGGCGAAGGCGGCUAACUGGUCCAGAUCUGACGCUGAGGUGCGAAAGCGUGGGGAGCAAACAGG